AAUUAAAACUGUAGACUGAUUUAUAGUUUCACAUCUCCCGACUUCUCUCUCAUGAAAAAGUGGCUCUGUUUCUUCAAAACUCUACCACCAUUGACGGUUUCACGAAAGAUCUAUAGGUCAUGCCUUCACCAAUAUGAGGCUCUUCAAGCCAAAACAUGGGCGAGAGACAGAGCCAAGCAAGAAGAGAUUUGGAAAACAGAAAAAGAAACUAUGCAGUCAAGAAAGAUAUUCAAGAAUCAAAAGAUUUUAACAUAGGGUUGGUUAAAGCAAAAGCUGAGUAUUUUUUUUCCAAUUGAGAAAUGGUGAAUGUAUUAAGUGUUAGUUGCAGUUUCUUGAUGUUAGUUGGGGAUUUGAGACUGAAAUCUUUAUAAUAUACAGUGUAAAUGUCAUGGUUUUUACUCCGCUACUCAUGUUUUUGUGUAUAUAUUUUUUAUCCUCAUCUUUGUAUUCCGAUAAUCCCAAAUAUUGUAACUAAUCCUCUAUGAGAAAUAAAGAUUCUGUAUUUUUUAA
Nicotiana attenuata is the source of this 510-nucleotide long non-coding RNA. RefSeq lists it as uncharacterized. The transcript has 2 exons. Lineage: Eukaryota; Viridiplantae; Streptophyta; Magnoliopsida; Solanales; Solanaceae. The record is from RefSeq and is a predicted model, not a curated record.